This 370-nucleotide ribosomal RNA is filed under the name Umbilicaria semitensis. RNAcentral describes it as "partial 18S ribosomal RNA". The record is from RNAcentral. Lineage: Eukaryota; Fungi; Ascomycota; Lecanoromycetes; Umbilicariales; Umbilicariaceae.
UUUUCUGGUCAUCAUUUUUUAGAAGUAAAAGUCGUAACAAGGUUCGCCGGUGCGGGGGACAGCGCACUCCUUCGACCGGGGAGGAUGCCGGCACCCUCGCACCUACGGAAGCCUUGCAUUUCAGUCUAUCCCGCGUAGGCAACACCGACACGAUGCUGGGAUUUCGCUGCCACCGGUGAAUACCAGCAGCCGCCGACGCGGCUCACAGAUCAAACGUCGGUGGCUCGGGUGGGGUCGUGAUUCUUCGAAGCCAUGUGUGCUCCUCGAGACGUCCGCCCCAGCUGCUCCCCGAGUUCAGAUAUGACCGGCCCCGUCGCAAAAGUGACAGGCACUGCCGCGUUCCGUAGGUGAACCUGCGGAAGGAUCAUUA